AACCUUCCAGAGCCAAUUUCUCUUCUUUGCGCCGUUCGAUUGGUUUCAAAUUUCUCAUGGACAUAGGAAAACAAGUCUUAUAUCCUCUCACAUAAUUUUUACUCCAAUCCAACUAUUAGAUUGCAUGAAAUCUUAAAAAACCCUCAUUGGACCUAAAAUUCUACUUUCUGAGACCUCAACUCACUUAAACCUCAAUAUCUCUCAGUUCAACCGUUAGAUCAAGCUCAAAUUCACGACAUGUAUUCAACACAACUAUAAACAUGAAUCCAAAAAAAUUCACCCGUAGAUCUGCAACAAAACUCUCGAAAUCACUCAAAAUAUAAACCCUAUUUUAUUUCAUAAAACCCAAGUCAUUCGAAAAAAACCUCAACUUUGCAAAGCUCUUACAAAUUCAUAUCAACUGAAAAUCACCCAAAAUCAAUGCCUAUAGAAACCCUAUCUAAUCUUCUCUCAAAGCCCUUUCUCCGAUUUGCCAAAGAAUUCCGGAGUCGUCAUCGAGACUCAGUUUUGUGUCUUAGGGUCUGAUUUCGACCCUGGUUCAUAACCGGCCCUCUCCGGGUAUCAAUAUCUAGUUUUUCUAAGCAAAUUUUUUCUAGAAUUUACUCUUAACUUUCUUUUAAAGAUUUUUGUAUCAUUUAUUUUCCCAAUCUACUUUGAUUUGCCUUACUUAUGGUACUACAAAAUAAGUAGAAGUCACCUUU
This 701-nucleotide long non-coding RNA is filed under the name Physcomitrium patens. RNAcentral describes it as "long non-coding RNA (PPAT_LNC013891)". Lineage: Eukaryota; Viridiplantae; Streptophyta; Bryopsida; Funariales; Funariaceae. The record is from RNAcentral.